Molecule: ribosomal RNA, 403 nt
Filed under: uncultured bacterium
Lineage: Bacteria
Description: bacterial SSU rRNA
Rfam family: Bacterial small subunit ribosomal RNA
Source: RNAcentral
UAGGGAAUAUUGCAAAAUGGGCGAAAGCCCGAUGCAGCAACGCCGCGUGGGCGAUGAAGGCCUUCGGGUCGUAAAGCCCUUUUUGAGGGGAUGAGGAAGGACAGUACCCUCAGAAUAAGCCUCGGCUAACUACGUGCCAGCAGCCGCGGUAAAACGUAGGAGGCGCGCGUUAUCCGGAUUUACUGGGCGUAAAUCGCGUGCAGGCGGAUUGGAGAGUUGGAUGUGAAAGCUCCCGGCUUAACUGGGAGAGGUCGUUCAAUACUUCCAGUCUUGAGUGCAGUAGAGGGAAGUGGAAUUCCGGGUGUAGUGGUGAAAUGCGUAGAUAUCCGGAGGAACACCAGUGGCGAAAGCGGCUUCCUGGACUGUAACUGACGCUCAGACGCGAAAGCUAGGGUAGCAAACG